This 475-nucleotide unclassified non-coding RNA is filed under the name uncultured fungus. RNAcentral describes it as "sequence contains ITS2". The record is from RNAcentral. Lineage: Eukaryota; Fungi.
AACGCAAAUUGCGCUCUUGGGUAGCCCUAGGAGCACGCCUCUCUCAGUAUCGGUUCAACAAUCUCUCAGCAGCGUGUUUGUGAAAUUUAUUUUACAAGUGCGUGUUGGCUGGAUAAUGAGAGUCUGAGCACAAUAAUUUUUUAUUAAUUAUAUAGCUCAGUCUCUUGAAAUACAUGGAGUAAACAUGACUAGCGAUCAGUUCUAUUGCUCUUUUUAUUAAGGACAGUGGAUAGUCAGCUUCUGAGCUGUCGUUCGAUUAGUGACGUGAAUAUUGGCCUUCAUUGGUCUCUAACCUUUUUACGUUUAUCUAAUUUCGUCUGACAAUUAAAAGUUUAGAUUUUGGCGAACGUUCGAUUUUAGUGUGUGAUUUUAUGUGAGAAAACCAUAUGAUGACUUAUUAAUUAAUUUUCAUUAAUUAAUUGUAAGGAGUCUGAAUUUUGAUCUGAGAUGAAGCGAGACAACCCCCUGAAUUUAA